GGCUAUUCUCAGGUGAUGCACCCUGGAAUUGGGCUUCCUCCUCUGUGGUUCCAGGUGCAUCACCCACGAACCGCA
Myotis lucifugus (little brown bat) is the source of this 75-nucleotide non-coding RNA. The record is from Rfam. Lineage: Eukaryota; Metazoa; Chordata; Mammalia; Chiroptera; Vespertilionidae.